GCGGGUUUAGCUCAGUUGGUAGAGCAUCUCCUUGCCAAGGAGAAGGUCGAGGGUUCGAGUCUCUUAACCCGCUCCA
This 76-nucleotide transfer RNA is filed under the name Fibrobacterota bacterium. RNAcentral's name for it is "Fibrobacteres bacterium tRNA-Gly". It matches the Rfam family "tRNA". Rfam says of the family: Transfer RNA (tRNA) molecules are approximately 80 nucleotides in length. Their secondary structure includes four short double-helical elements and three loops (D, anti-codon, and T loops). The record is from RNAcentral. Lineage: Bacteria; Pseudomonadati; Fibrobacterota. RNAcentral also lists the same sequence under 3 other names.